RNAcentral lists this unclassified non-coding RNA (1829 nucleotides) under Hermetia illucens (black soldier fly). RNAcentral's name for it is "akirin, transcript variant X1". Lineage: Eukaryota; Metazoa; Arthropoda; Insecta; Diptera; Stratiomyidae. The record is from RNAcentral.
AUGGCGUGUGCAACUUUGAAACGGUCUUUGGAUUGGGAGGCGAUAAACCAGCGUCCGACCAAACGGCGCAGAUGUAAUCCAUUUGGGAAUUCAGGAAAUACGUCGCCGGGGCCUUCGUCGGGCUCUAACCAGCCCGGAUCGCCGUCACACAAUAGCAACAGUCGCCUUAUGGUGGAACCACACCAAUCUCCCUUUGCGGACACAUCAGUGGGCAAAAUCUCCCCAGAUAAAAUGGCACAAAACAUUCGGGAAGAAAUCAUCAGAUUGCAUAGACGUAAGCAACUUCCACUUUCCUCCUCGGCGUUGGAGCGUAUGCAGGACUCAGAAUCGAGCGGAUCGGAAAUGGGACCCGACAGCCCACGGCGUCCAGACAGUCCCCCAAGCUUAGUCAGACAUCCCGAAAAAGCUUUAUUUACAUUUAAACAGGUGCAAUUAAUUUGCGAGCGAAUGCUCAAAGAAAGAGAAGAAGCUCUGCGUGAACAAUAUGAUGCUGUCCUAACAACAAAAUUAGCGGAACAAUACGAUGCAUUUGUGAAAUUCACAUACGAUCAGAUACAAAGGCGAUACGAAGCCGCGCCGAGUUAUCUGUCGUAAUUGGAUCAGCAAUGGCGUUACUGUUGCUAGUCGCGAAUCAUUUUGUCAUCAGUAUCGUCAUUAAGGACAAAUCAUCAAACUAUUAAUACUUUACUACAACUAUAUCAAGAGAGGAUAUUUAAUUCCAAUAACAAACAACAAACGUACAUCAAUCAAAUAACACUACAAAUUUCGGUUUACUCUAUUUCUUCGUAUUUUUUUCUCCUUUUUGAAUUUUCAAAUAGCAAAUAUUUUACUUUUAGUUUAUUAUUAUAAUUAUUACAAGAAUAUAUUGAAAAAGAUCAUUUAUAGAGCUAAGAUUAUAUCGACUUAAAAGAAAACAAACAACCACAACAAGAAAGCGUAUAGUUGAAAGCAACAACGUGAAACCAUCCGAGAAGUAGCUGAAAUCAUUGUUCAUGAAAGCCCGGUUUGUUGUCCAAACAAUUUGUUGUCGAACGACUUAAUUUAGGAUGCAUUAUUUGUAUGAUUAUAUAUAGUUUACGUGAAAUAAACAUUGAUACGCUGAUUGUAAUUACCAAUGUUAUGUAAGGGACGUCGAAACAUAACAGUUUUUCUUGGAAUUGUAUUAUAUUGUCUUGAAAUCGGAGGACUAUCAGUCGAGAGCGGGAGUUUCAAUCCAAACUUGAUAACUAGGAGCAGAAUCCACAAAAGUCUGAAGAAAACUCAUUUCACGAAAUGGAGAUAACUAACGUGGAAUUUCAUUUAUGCGCUUGUAAUAAAAUUAGAGUUAAAUUUACAUGUGUUUAUUUUCAAUCCGCUUUCGUCCCUUUGUUUCCAUCUAAAUACACUUUUUUCAUUUCGAAUAGUGCGGAUUCAUAUUUAUAAGCAAAAGUGUAAAAAAAAUAUUGCGAUAAUUUAUAGCUGAAUAAUGAUACAGUAAUACUAAGGUCGAUAUCCAUUUCAAACUGAUUAGAUUUAAUUGUAUUUUGUUUUUCUACGUUCAGUCGCUCGCCAUACGUUUUUGGUACGGUAUCAAGUUUUCAAUUGGCGACCAAGCACUGAGAGAAGUCGGCGAUAGAUGGUUAAGGAAAUUACAUACUUUAGAUUAUUUUUAAUGUAUACAAUAGAGUCAACGUAAUUUUAGAGUAGAAUUUGUCACUAUGUUCUCAAUUUCAAUCCUGAUUGUUGUGCCACGAAACGGACAUGCUGUUCUGUACGAAAACAACAUCUUGACAGAACUGGCGGGUGAAGGAGAAAGCAAUUGGAAAUAAAUUUAUUUGGUUCAAUCAAAA